GAUGAAGAACGUAGCGAAAUGCGAUACGUAGUGUGAAUUGCACAAUUCAGUGAAUCAUCGAAUCUUUGAACGCACAUUGCACCUCUCGGUAUUCCGGGAGGUAUGCCUGUUCGAGCGUCAUUUGUACCCUCAAGCUCUGCUUGGUGUUGGGUGUUUGUUCCGCCUCUGUGUGUGAACUCGCCUCAAAACAAUUGGCAGCCGGCGUACUUGUUUCGGAGCGCAGCACAUUUUGCGAUCCAGAUCAACGUACAGCGGCAUCCAAGAAGCCUUAUUUAACGCUCUUGACCUCGGAUCAGGUAGGGAUACCCGCUGAACUUAAGCAUAUCAAUAAGCGGAGGA
RNAcentral lists this unclassified non-coding RNA (339 nucleotides) under soil metagenome. Its description in RNAcentral is "partial contains 5.8S ribosomal RNA, internal transcribed spacer 2, and large subunit ribosomal RNA". The stretch from base 1 to 120 matches the Rfam family "5.8S ribosomal RNA", at positions 35 to 154 of the family's 154-position model. The record is from RNAcentral.